GGGGCUGUAGCUCAGCUGGGAGAGCACAACGCUGGCAGCGUUGGGGUCGAGGGUUCGAGCCCCUUCAGCUCCACCA
Molecule: transfer RNA, 76 nt
Filed under: Erysipelotrichaceae bacterium
Lineage: Bacteria; Bacillati; Bacillota; Erysipelotrichia; Erysipelotrichales; Erysipelotrichaceae
Description: tRNA-Ala
Rfam family: tRNA
About the family: Transfer RNA (tRNA) molecules are approximately 80 nucleotides in length.
Source: RNAcentral